CCUACGGGGGGCAGCAGUAGGGAAUCUUCCACAAUGGACGAAAGUCUGAUGGAGCAACGCCGCGUGAGUGAAGAAGGGUUUCGGCUCGUAAAGCUCUGUUGGUAGUGAAGAAAGAUAGAGGUAGUAAAUGGCCUUUAUUUGACGGUAAUUACUUAGAAAGUCACGGCUAACUACGUGCCAGCAGCCGCGGUAAUACGUAGGUGGCAAGCGUUGACCGGAUUUAUUGGGCGUAAAGCGAGUGCAGGCGGUUGAAUAAGUCUGAUGUGAAAGCCCUGGGCUCAACCGGAGAAUUGCAUCAGAAACUGUUGAACUUGAGUGCAGAAGAGGGGGGUAGAACUCCAUGUGUAGCGGUGGAAUGCGUAGAGAUAUGGAAGAACACCAGUGGCGAAGGCGGCUCUCUGGUC
This 404-nucleotide ribosomal RNA is filed under the name uncultured bacterium. RNAcentral's name for it is "partial 16S ribosomal RNA". It matches the Rfam family "Bacterial small subunit ribosomal RNA", at positions 338 to 734 of the family's 1533-position model. The record is from RNAcentral.